GUUGGUUACCACAAAAUGACUACGUUCAGUGGUCUAAUUUUAAUUAGUUUUUUACUAGGAUAUUCACUUGCUUUAAAAUGUUACGUGUGUACGGGUGAAGAAGGAUGCCCGAGUAUCAAAGAGGAAAUAAAUUGCGAAAAUAACUCAUUAAAAUUUUUUAAUAGAACUAUAUUUUCAAGUUUAUUCCCCCUUUUAGACGGAGUUUCUUCAUAUCAUUGUGCUUCAUAUGAAAUAUUUAAUGAUGAUGUUAAAGACUCUGUUAUUAUGGGAUGUUUCCUUGAUAGCUUUACAUGUGAAUUAAUUGAAAAAAUAUUCGAGGAAGAUAAUACAGUGGUAUCGAAUUGUCGAACUUGUUCAACAGAUUUUUGCAAUGGAUCAAAUAUUCAAACAAUUGAAUUUGCUUUACUAUUAUUUACCUUUAUAUUACUUAUUGGGAUAUAAUAAAUAUGAUAGAGCAAUAAAAUAUUAAAGAUUAAAUAUAGAUACGAAAUGUCAAUA
Long non-coding RNA from Aethina tumida (small hive beetle), 498 nucleotides. RefSeq lists it as uncharacterized. Lineage: Eukaryota; Metazoa; Arthropoda; Insecta; Coleoptera; Nitidulidae. The transcript is spliced from 3 exons. The record is from RefSeq and is a predicted model, not a curated record.